GGCUGUGGCUCAGUGGCAGAGCGCUUGCCUAGCAUGUGUGAGGCACUGGGUUCAAUUCUCAGCACCA
This 67-nucleotide transfer RNA is filed under the name Marmota monax (woodchuck). RNAcentral describes it as "tRNA.Ala". It matches the Rfam family "tRNA", at positions 6 to 65 of the family's 71-position model. Rfam says of the family: Transfer RNA (tRNA) molecules are approximately 80 nucleotides in length. Their secondary structure includes four short double-helical elements and three loops (D, anti-codon, and T loops). The record is from RNAcentral. Lineage: Eukaryota; Metazoa; Chordata; Mammalia; Rodentia; Sciuridae.